Molecule: small RNA, 570 nt
Filed under: Pongo abelii (Sumatran orangutan)
Lineage: Eukaryota; Metazoa; Chordata; Mammalia; Primates; Hominidae
Description: processed transcript
Source: RNAcentral
GUGCAGCCAGGGGCUUCCGGCCGCGGCCCCGGCGAGUGGUCUGCGCGCGCCCGGCCGUGCGUGCGGAUGCGGGGAGGCUGCGUGUGUGCGCAGGGCGAGAGCGCAGGCCACCUUCCCGCUUCCCAGCUGGGUGCGCGCCGAGCACAGGAGAUUGCCUGCGUUUAGGAGGUAGCUGCAUUGUGGGAAAAGCUAUCAAGGAAGAAAUUGCCAAAUCGUGUUUUUUUGUUUUCAGAGUAGUUCACAACAGAUCUGAGUUUUAAUUAAAGCAUGGAAUACAGAAAACUACAAAAAACUUAAGCUUUAAUUUCAUCUGGAAUUCCACAGAGACAAGGCCACUUUAUGUUUCCCAGGCUGGACCAGAACCCCUGGGCUCAAAUGAUCCUCCUACGUCAGCCUGCAGAGUAGCCAGGACUUCAGUUUUCUUAGCUCCCUGGACCCGGUUGACCUGUUGGCUCUUCCCGCUGGCUGCUCUAUCACGUGGUGCUCUCGGACUACUCACCCCGAGUGUAAAGUCCUGCUGCUCUGUUGCCCAGGCUGGAGUGCAGUGGCAGGAUCUCAGCUCACUGCAAU